RNAcentral lists this ribosomal RNA (253 nucleotides) under uncultured bacterium. RNAcentral describes it as "partial 16S ribosomal RNA". It matches the Rfam family "Bacterial small subunit ribosomal RNA", at positions 524 to 776 of the family's 1533-position model. The record is from RNAcentral.
UACGUAGGGUGCAAGCGUUGUCCGGAAUUAUUGGGCGUAAAGAGCUCGUAGGCGGUUUGUCGCGUCUGCUGUGAAAUCUUAGGGCUUAACCCUGAGCUUGCAGUGGGUACGGGCAGACUAGAGUGCGGUAGGGGAGACUGGAAUUCCUGGUGUAGCGGUGAAAUGCGCAGAUAUCAGGAGGAACACCGGUGGCGAAGGCGGGUCUCUGGGCCGUAACUGACGCUGAGGCGCGAAAGCAUGGGGAGCGAACGGG